GAGAACCUCUGCCAAAACAAAACUAGUUACAUUGGUGGUGAAAUCCUCUCUGCUCCAACUUGACAUCCCUUUCAUUGAAGGCCUUCCUUGAGAUGGAUUAAAAGUAUGAGAAAGGAACAUUUAUUAGGCACUCAGACGUCACGAAUGUGUGUUAAGCACUGAACAGAUAUCCAAGCAGAAGGUCUGGGUUUACCUUUCAGCAGGAAGAUGUUGCCAUGGUUACACCACCACCCUCCCUGGAUGCAGUGUGCAGUCAGUGAAGGUCUGAUAGGUGCAGCAUGAGCUGAGUGCCAGCCACAAUUGUAGCAGAAGAAGAAACCUAAGAGAGACUGAAUUUUCCGUACAGGGUCUCCGUUGACUUACCCGCGGGCCGGGACAGAGCAGCCUUCCUCAGCCACAUCCUUCCAUCAUGCCGUUUCUGCCCUGAAGCCAGCAUCAUAGAGUAAAUCCGCUGGAAAACACCGGAAACUGUGAUCCGAAUAAACCUCUCC
Long non-coding RNA from Heterocephalus glaber (naked mole-rat), 491 nucleotides. NCBI's taxonomy places the organism in Eukaryota, Metazoa, Chordata, Mammalia, Rodentia, Bathyergidae. The record is from Ensembl.